Limulus polyphemus (Atlantic horseshoe crab) is the source of this 553-nucleotide long non-coding RNA. RefSeq lists it as uncharacterized. The transcript has 2 exons. The record is from RefSeq and is a predicted model, not a curated record. NCBI's taxonomy places the organism in Eukaryota, Metazoa, Arthropoda, Merostomata, Xiphosura, Limulidae.
UCAGUAAUAGGCUAAAAGUAUACAGAAGUAACCGGUUGGCCAUAAUUAGAUGAAACUGAAGAUUUUAUAAAGAACUUCAUAGAAGAAUUAUAUAGGUUCUAAAGAAUCACCAUUGUUGGGAUUGUAAGGCUGCUAAACUUUUUUUAACCCUAUUUGAUAAGAUUACGGGAACUGUGUGUGUGUGUGUGUCAAAAUUAAACUCUUCUUUUCAGGUUCGUGAGUAUGAAUUAAGGAAGGAUAAUUUUUCAGACACUGGAAACUUUGGGUUUGGUAUUCAGGAACAUAUUGAUUUGGGUAUCAAAUAUGACCCGAGUAUUGGCAUAUAUGGCUUGGAUUUUUAUGUCGUCCUGGGCCGUCCGGGGUUCAAUAUUGCUCACCGUAGGAGGAGGAAAAGCAUUAUUGGUGCAAAACAUCGUAUUAGUAAGGAAGAAGCAAUGAAGUGGUUUCAGCAAAAGUAUGAUGGCAUCAUUCUUCCAAGCAAGAGUGGAAAGUAACAUACAGUUCUCUACUUUUGUAUCAUGAAGCCUUAAAUAAAUCUAUAUAAUUAAACAUC